Molecule: ribosomal RNA, 309 nt
Filed under: Inermocoelotes sp. ZZ627
Lineage: Eukaryota; Metazoa; Arthropoda; Arachnida; Araneae; Agelenidae
Description: partial 12S ribosomal RNA
Source: RNAcentral
AAACUAAUUUAGUUUGGCGGCAUUUCAUCUAUUUAGAGGAAUUUGUCCUUUAAUCGAUAAUCCACGUUAAAUUUUGCUUUAAUCUAAAAUUUAUAUACCGCCAUCUUAAGAAUUAAUUUAAAAAUAUUAACCCAAUAAUUAAUAAAAAGUUAGGUCAAGGUGUAAUCUAUAUUAAAGAAUGAGAUGAAUUACAUUAAAUAAUAUUUAAAGAUUAUUAAUAAAUAUAUAAAUAUAAAUAAGGAUUUAAAAGUAAUAUUUCAAUAAUAAUAAUAAAAUAUGAUAAAGAUAAUAAAUGUGCACACAUCGCCC